AUUGAACGCUGGCGGCAGGCCUAACACAUGCAAGUCGAACGGUAACAGAAAGCAGCUUGCUGCUUUGCUGACGAGUGGCGGACGGGUGAGUAAUGUCUGGGAAACUGCCUGAUGGAGGGGGAUAACUACUGGAAACGGUAGCUAAUACCGCAUAACGUCGCAAGACCAAAGAGGGGGACCUUCGGGCCUCUUGCCAUCGGAUGUGCCCAGAUGGGAUUAGCUAGUAGGUGGGGUAACGGCUCACCUAGGCGACGAUCCCUAGCUGGUCUGAGAGGAUGACCAGCCACACUGGAACUGAGACACGGUCCACACUCCUACGGGAGGCAGCAGUGGGGAAUAUUGCACAAUGGGCGCAAGCCUGAUGCAGCCAUGCCGCGUGUAUGAAGAAGGCCUUCGGGUUGUAAAGUACUUUCAGCGGGGAGGAAGGGAGUAAAGUUAAUACCUUUGCUCAUUGACGUUACCCGCAGAAGAAGCACCGGCUAACUCCGUGCCAGCAGCCGCGGUAAUACGGAGGGUGCAAGCGUUAAUCGGAAUUACUGGGCGUAAAGCGCACGCAGGCGGUUUGUUAAGUCAGAUGUGAAAUCCCCGGGCUCAACCUGGGAACUGCAUCUGAUACUGGCAAGCUUGAGUCUCGUAGAGGGGGGUGGAAUUCCAGGUGUAGCGGUGAAAUGCGUAGAGAUCUGGAGGAAUACCGGUGGCGAAGGCGGCCCCCUGGACGAAGACUGACGCUCAGGUGCGAAAGCGUGGGGAGCAAACAAGAUUAGAUACCCUGGUAGUCCACGCCGUAAACGAGUUCGACUGGGAGGUUGUGCCCUUGAGGCGUGGCUUCCGGAGCUAACGCGUUAAGUCGACCGCCUGGGGAGUACGGCCGCAAGGUUAAAACUCAAAUGAAUUGACGGGGGCCCGCACAAGCGGUGGAGCAUGUGGUUUAAUUCGAUGCAACGCGAAGAACCUUACCUGGUCUUGACAUCCACAGAACUUUCCAGAGAUGGAUUGGUGCCUUCGGGAACUGUGAGACAGGUGCUGCAUGGCUGUCGUCAGCUCGUGUUGUGAAAUGUUGGGUUAAGUCCCGCAACGAGCGCAACCCUUAUCCUUUGUUGCCAGCGGUCCGGCCGGGAACUCAAAGGAGACUGCCAGUGAUAAACUGGAGGAAGGUGGGGAUGACGUCAAGUCAUCAUGGCCCUUACGACCAGGGCUACACACGUGCUACAAUGGCGCAUACAAAGAGAAGCGACCUCGCGAGAGCAAGCGGACCUCAUAAAGUGCGUCGUAGUCCGGAUUGGAGUCUGCAACUCGACUCCAUGAAGUCGGAAUCGCUAGUAAUCGUGGAUCAGAAUGCCACGGUGAAUACGUUCCCGGGCCUUGCACA
This 1369-nucleotide ribosomal RNA is filed under the name uncultured bacterium. RNAcentral describes it as "bacterial SSU rRNA". It matches the Rfam family "Bacterial small subunit ribosomal RNA", at positions 28 to 1387 of the family's 1533-position model. The record is from RNAcentral.